This 378-nucleotide ribosomal RNA is filed under the name uncultured bacterium. Its description in RNAcentral is "bacterial SSU rRNA". It matches the Rfam family "Bacterial small subunit ribosomal RNA", at positions 775 to 1150 of the family's 1533-position model. The record is from RNAcentral.
AGAUAAUAGAUACCCGGGUAGUCCACGCCGUAAACGAUGAAUGCUAGCCGUUGGCGAGCUUGCUCGUCAGUGGCGCAGCUAACGCUUUAAGCAUUCCGCCUGGGGAGUACGGUCGCAAGAUUAAAACUCAAAGGAAUUGACGGGGGCCCGCACAAGCGGUGGAGCAUGUGGUUUAAUUCGACGCAACGCGAAGAACCUUACCAGCUCUUGACAUGCCACGACGGUUUCCAGAGAUGGAUUCUUCCCCGCAAGGGGCGUGGACACAGGUGCUGCAUGGACUGUCGUCAGCUCGUGUCGUGAGAUGUUGGGUUAAGUCCCGCAACGAGCGCAACCCUGCCCUUAGUUGCCAGUCAUUUAGUUGGGCACUCUAAGGGGACU